GCGGUGGAGCAUGUGGUUUAAUUCGACGCUACGCGAAGAACCUUACCUGGGCUUGAACUGCUGGUGGUAGAAGCCCGAAAGGGUGACGACCCGGAGCAAUCCGGGAGCCAGUAGAGGUGCUGCAUGGCUGUCGUCAGCUCGUGUCGUGAGAUGUUGGGUUAAGUCCCGCAACGAGCGCAACCCUUACCCUUAGUUGCCAGCGGGUAAUGCCGGGCACUCUAAGGGGACCGCCCGGAUAACGGGGAGGAAGGCGGGAUGACGUCAAGUCAGCAUGGCCCUUAUGUCCAGGGCUACACACGUGCUACAAUGGGCGAUACAGAGGGAAGCAAGGCCGCAAGGUAGAGCUAAUCCCUAAAGUCGUCCUCAGUUCGGAUUGCAGGCUGCAACUCGCCUGCAUGAAGUCGGAAUCGCUAGUAAUCGCGGAUCAGCUACGCCGCGGUGAAUACGUUCUCGGGCCUU
RNAcentral lists this ribosomal RNA (459 nucleotides) under uncultured Aminicenantes bacterium. RNAcentral's name for it is "bacterial SSU rRNA". It matches the Rfam family "Bacterial small subunit ribosomal RNA", at positions 929 to 1382 of the family's 1533-position model. Lineage: Bacteria; Candidatus Aminicenantota. The record is from RNAcentral.